This 253-nucleotide ribosomal RNA is filed under the name uncultured bacterium. Its description in RNAcentral is "partial 16S ribosomal RNA". It matches the Rfam family "Bacterial small subunit ribosomal RNA", at positions 524 to 776 of the family's 1533-position model. The record is from RNAcentral.
UACGGAGGGCGCAAGCGUUAUUCGGAUUCACUGGGUUUAAAGGGUGCGUAGGCGGGUUGGUAAGUCAGUGGUGAAAUCUCCGAGCUUAACUUGGAAACUGCCAUUGAUACUAUCAGUCUUGAAUAUUGUGGAGGUCAGCGGAAUAUGUCAUGUAGCGGUGAAAUGCUUAGAUAUGACAUAGAACACCAAUUGCGAAGGCAGCUGGCUACACGAAUAUUGACACUGAGGCACGAAAGCGUGGGGAUCAAACAGG